Molecule: ribosomal RNA, 301 nt
Filed under: uncultured bacterium
Lineage: Bacteria
Description: partial 16S ribosomal RNA
Rfam family: Bacterial small subunit ribosomal RNA
Source: RNAcentral
CAGCCGCCGCGGGAAUACGAGGGGGGCAAGCGUUGUUCGGAAUUAUUGGGCGUAAAGGGUGCGUAGGCGGCUUGACAAGUCUUGUGUGAAAUCUAUGGGCUCAACCCAUAGUCUGCACGGGAAACUGUCGGGCUUGAGAAUGGGAGAGGUGAGUGGAAUUUCCGGUGUAGCGGUGAAAUGCGUAGAUAUCGGAAGGAACACCUGUGGCGAAAGCGGCUCACUGGACCAUUUCUGACGCUGAUGCACGAAAGCUAGGGGAGCAAACAGGAUUAGAUACCCGAGUAGUCCCUGUCUCUUAUAC